UACGAGAGGCCCAAACGUUAUUCGGAAUUACUGGGCUUAAAGAGUUCGUAGGCGGCGCAGCAAGUAGGGUGUGAAAGCCCUCGGCUCAACCGAGGAAUUGCGCUCUAAACUACUGUGCUUGAGGGACCUAGAGGUGAGCGGAACUGAUGGUGGAGCGGUGAAAUGCGUUGAUAUCAUCAGGAACACCGGAGGCGAAGGCGGCUCACUGGGGGUCUUCUGACGCUGAGGAACGAAAGCCAGGGGAGCGAACGGG
This 253-nucleotide ribosomal RNA is filed under the name uncultured bacterium. RNAcentral describes it as "partial 16S ribosomal RNA". It matches the Rfam family "Bacterial small subunit ribosomal RNA", at positions 524 to 776 of the family's 1533-position model. The record is from RNAcentral.